This 523-nucleotide ribosomal RNA is filed under the name uncultured bacterium. RNAcentral describes it as "bacterial LSU rRNA". It matches the Rfam family "Bacterial large subunit ribosomal RNA", at positions 10 to 574 of the family's 2925-position model. The record is from RNAcentral.
ACUAAGUGCACAUGGUGGAUGCCUUGGCGAUUACAGGCGAUGAAGGACGUAGUAGCCUGCGAAAAGCUACGGGGAGCUGGCAAACGAGCUUUUGAUCCGUAGAUAUCCGAAUGGGGAAACCCGGCGCGCAAGCGUCACUCCCACCUGAAUAUAUAGGGUGGGUAGAGCGAACGCAGCGAACUGAAAACAUCUAAGUAGCUGCAGGAAAAGAAAUCAACCGAGAUUCCCAAAGUAGUGGCGAGCGGAAAAUGGGAAGAGCCUGUAUGUGAUAGUCAACUGGUUAGUGGAACGGAAUGGAAAGUCCGGCGAUAGAGGGUGAUAGCCCCGUACACGAAAACUGGUUGGUGGUACUGAGCAUACGACAAGUAGGGCGGGGCACGAGAAACCUUGUCUGAACAUGGGGGGACCAUCCUCCAAGGCUAAAUACUCGUAAUCGACCGAUAGUGAACCAGUACCGUGAGGAAGGCGAAAGAACCCCGGAGGGGAGUGGAAAUAGAACCUGAAACCGUGUGCAUACAACAGU